GUGGGGAAUCUUGCGCAAUGGGCGAAAGCCUGACGCAGCCAUGCCGCGUGAAUGAUGAAGGUCUUAGGAUUGUAAAAUUCUUUCACCGGGGACGAUAAUGACGGUACCCGGAGAAGAAGCUCCGGCUAACUUCGUGCCAGCAGCCGCGGUAAUACGAAGGGGGCUAGCGUUGCUCGGAAUUACUGGGCGUAAAGGGCGCGUAGGCGGACAGCUUAGUCAGAGGUGAAAGCCCAGGGCUCAACCUUGGAAUUGCCUUUGAUACUGGCUGUCUUGAGUACGGGAGAGGUGAGUGGAACUCCGAGUGUAGAGGUGAAAUUCGUAGAUAUUCGGAAGAACACCAGUGGCGAAGGCGACUCACUGGCCCGUUACUGACGCUGAGGUGCGAAAGCGUGGGGAGCAAACAGGAUUAGAAACCCGGGUAGUCC
RNAcentral lists this ribosomal RNA (425 nucleotides) under uncultured bacterium. RNAcentral describes it as "partial 16S ribosomal RNA". It matches the Rfam family "Bacterial small subunit ribosomal RNA", at positions 354 to 796 of the family's 1533-position model. The record is from RNAcentral.